This 73-nucleotide transfer RNA is filed under the name Felis catus (domestic cat). Its description in RNAcentral is "tRNA-Gln (CTG) (tRNA-Gln-CTG-8-1)". It matches the Rfam family "tRNA". Rfam says of the family: Transfer RNA (tRNA) molecules are approximately 80 nucleotides in length. Their secondary structure includes four short double-helical elements and three loops (D, anti-codon, and T loops). Further hydrogen bonds mediate the characteristic L-shaped molecular structure. tRNAs have two regions of fundamental functional importance: the anti-codon, which is responsible for specific mRNA codon recognition, and the 3' end, to which the tRNAs corresponding amino acid is attached (by aminoacyl-tRNA synthetases). tRNAs cope with the degeneracy of the genetic code in two manners: having more than one tRNA (with a specific anti-codon) for a particular amino acid; and 'wobble' base-pairing, i.e. permitting non-standard base-pairing at the 3rd anti-codon position. Lineage: Eukaryota; Metazoa; Chordata; Mammalia; Carnivora; Felidae. The record is from RNAcentral.
GGUUCCAUGGUGCUAAUGCGUAGCACUCUGGACUCUGAAUCCAGCGAUCCGAGUUCAAAUCUCGGUGGAACCA